RNAcentral lists this ribosomal RNA (433 nucleotides) under uncultured bacterium. RNAcentral's name for it is "partial 16S ribosomal RNA". It matches the Rfam family "Bacterial small subunit ribosomal RNA", at positions 28 to 507 of the family's 1533-position model. The record is from RNAcentral.
GACGAACGCUGGCGGCAUGCCUAACACAUGCAAGUCGAACGAAAACUUCGGGUCUUGUGGCGCACGGCUGCGUCACGCGUGGGAACCUGCACUUAGGUUCGGAAUAACUCCCCGAAAGGGAUGCUAAUACCGGAUAAUGUCUUCGGACCAAAGAUUUAUUGCGUUUGGAUGGGCGCGCGUUGGAUUAGCUAGUUGGUAGGGUAAAAGCCUACUAAGGCGACGAUCCAUAGCUGGUCUGAGAGGAUGAUCAGCAACACUGGGAAUGAGACACGGCCCAGACUCCUACGGGAGGGAGGAGUGGGGAAUAUAGGACAAUGGGGGAAAGCCUGAUCCAACAAUGCCCGGUAAGUGAUGAAGGCCGUAGGGAUGUAAUGCGCUUUUACCCGGGAUGAUAAUGACAGUACCGGGUGAAUAAGCUCCGGCUAACUCCGUG